UAUAAGGAGGCAAUUGAAGAUUUUAAAUACGCCCUGGUGCUUGAGCCAACUAAUAAAAGAGCUGCCCUUUCUGCUGAAAGAUUAAGAAAGUUGUUUGUGUAGAAGAUUGAAGAAUGCGUCUGUCUAGGAAUGGCGAAGUAUACAAUUUAUCAUUUUUUAUGAAAGCCUUAUAUCAAUCUCUGUUCAGCAGACGGCAUUAUUCAACAUUUUGAUGAUCGUUACUUCUCAAUCAUCUCACACAAAAAUUUCUUUAAGAGUGCUUCACAAGUAGAGACGGGAGAGUAAUCCUUCUUCAUGGAACGUAUGGAGGUCUGAAAUUAUUUUUGUUUGAUCCAGUAUUAGUUUUUAGCAUAUAUAACUGGGUAGUUAUCGCUAUUAUUAGAAUUUUGUAAGUAUGGUACAAUUUUGUUUGUUUUAAUAUCUUUAUGUAAGGGUUGUAAUUUUAGUUUUGAGAAGGAUUUGUCUACGUAUGAUCUUGUGUUGAUUAUGUAGCUUAUAAUUG
This 502-nucleotide unclassified non-coding RNA is filed under the name Hevea brasiliensis (rubber tree). Lineage: Eukaryota; Viridiplantae; Streptophyta; Magnoliopsida; Malpighiales; Euphorbiaceae. The record is from RNAcentral.